Molecule: small RNA, 277 nt
Filed under: Arabidopsis thaliana (thale cress)
Lineage: Eukaryota; Viridiplantae; Streptophyta; Magnoliopsida; Brassicales; Brassicaceae
Description: ATSL119270
Source: RNAcentral
AAAACUCUAAUUAAACACAACACCAUCAAUCAUCAUAUAUAGAAUAGAGAUGGAUUUUUGGAUUGAUAGAAACAAAUGAAAAGGUAAAAAAGAUAGAUCUUUGGAUUGAUAGAAAGAAAGAAAAGGUAAAAAGGAGACGAAAAAUUAAAUAUGGAAUAGAGAGAAGAGAGUAAAGAGAAGAAGAAGAAGAAACAAAUCAAAAAUUUUGUUUUUGUUGAAUUGAAAGAAAAAUAAAUUGAAGAUGAAAAAAAUUUGAUCUGAGAAAUUAGAUUUUUUU